Molecule: ribosomal RNA, 406 nt
Filed under: uncultured bacterium
Lineage: Bacteria
Description: partial 16S ribosomal RNA
Rfam family: Bacterial small subunit ribosomal RNA
Source: RNAcentral
GACGAACGCUGGCGGCGUGCCUAAUACAUGCAAGUAGAACGCAGUUGCGAAAGGGUGAGUAAAGCGUAGGUAACUGCCUGGUAGCGGGGGAUAACUAUUGGAAACGAUAGCUAAUACCGCAUACUACCAGAUGGACCUGCGUUGUAUUAGCUAGUUGGUGGGGUAACGGCUCACCAAGGCAACGAGCAAUAGCCGACCUGAGAGGGGUGCGGCCCCCCUGGGACUGAGGCAAGGCCCAGAAUCCUCCGGGAAGCAGCAGUAGGGGAUCUUCGGAAAUGGGGGGAACCCUGACCGAGCAACGCCGCGUGAGUGAAGAAGUUUUUCGGAUCGUAAAGCUCUGUUGUUAAGGAAGCGGUACUUAACCAGAAAGGGACGGCUAACUACGUGCCAGCAGCCGCGGUAAUUC